Molecule: ribosomal RNA, 253 nt
Filed under: uncultured bacterium
Lineage: Bacteria
Description: partial 16S ribosomal RNA
Rfam family: Bacterial small subunit ribosomal RNA
Source: RNAcentral
UACGAAGGGGGCUAGCGUUGCCCGGAAUCACUGGGCGUAAAGCGCACGUAGGCGGCUUCUCAAGUCAGGGGUGAAAUCCUGGAGCUCAACUGCAGAACUGCCUUUGAUACUGAGGGGCUCGAGUCCGGGAGAGGUGAGUGGAACUGCGAGUGUAGAGGUGAAAUUCGUAGAUAUUCGCAAGAACACCAGUGGCGAAGGCGGCUCACUGGCCCGAUACUGACGCUGAGGCACGAAAGCGUGGGGAGCAAACAGG